UGUAACCAACCUGACGGAACUGAAAAAACACACUACAAGAAUUUCAUAAUGCAAUCACAAGUACUAAUAGCAGAAUAGACAAAGCGGAGGAAAGAAUUUCAGAGCUUGAAGACUGGCUUUCUGAAAUAAGACUGGCAGACAAGAAUAGAGAAAAAAGAAUGAAAAGCAAUGAACAAAACCUCCGAGAAAUAUGGGAUCACGUAAAGAGAGCGAAUCUAAGACUGAUUGGUGUCCCUGAAAGAGAUGGGGAAAACGGAACCAAUUUGGAAAACGCAUUUCAGGAUAUCAUCUAUGAGAAAUUCCCUAACCUAGCUAGAGAGGCCAACAUUCAAAUUCAGGAAAUCCAGAGAACUCCAGGAAGAUACUCCACGAAAGGAACAUCCCCAACACACAUAAUCAUCAGAUUCUCCAAGGUUGAAACGAAAGAAAAAAUGUUAAAGGCGGCUAGAGAGAAAGGCCAGGUCACCUACAAAGGGAAGCCCUUCAGACUAACAGUGGAUGUCUCAGUGGAAAACCUACAAGCCAGAAGAGAUUGGGGGUCAAUACUCAACAUUCUUAAAGAAACUCCAACCCAGAAUUUCAUAUCUGGCCAAAGUAAGCUUCAUAAGCGAAGAAGAAAUAAGAUUAUUUUCAGACAAGCAAAUGUUAAGGGAAUUUGUUACCACCAGACCUGCCCUACAAGAGCUCCUGAAGGAAGCACUAAAUGUAGAAAGGAAAGAUGGUUACCAGCCACUCCAAAAACACACUGAAGUACUCAGACCAGUGACACUACAGAGCAAACAUGUAAGCAAGUCUGCAAAAUAACCAGCUAGCAUCAUGAUGAAAGGAUCAAAUCCAAACAUACCAAUACUAACCUUAAAUUGUAAAUGGGCUAAAUGCCCCAGUUAAAAGACACAGAGUAGCAAGCUGGAUAAGGAACUAAGAUCCAAUGGUAUGCUGUCUUCAAGAGAACCAUCUCACAUGCAAUGACACACAUAGGCUCAAAAUAAAAAGAUGGAUGAAAAUCUACCAAGCAAACGGAAAACAUAAAAAAGCAGCAGUUGCAAUCCUAGUUUCUGACAAAACAGACUUUAAAUCAACAAAGAUCAAAAAACACAAAGAAGGGCAUUACAUAAUGGUAAAUGGUUCAAUUCAACAAGAAAAUCUAACUAUCCUAAAUACAUAUGGACCCAACACAGGAGCACCCAGAUUUAUAAAGCAAGUUCUUAGAGGCCUUCACAGAGACUUAGACUGCCAGGCAAUGAUAGUGGGAGACUUUUUAACACCCCACUGACAAUAUUAGACAGAUCAUUGAGACAGACAGUUAACAAAGAUAUUCAGGACCUGAACUCAGCACUGGAUCAAAUGGACCUGGUGGAUAUCUACAGAACUCUCCACCCCAAAACAACAGAAUAUACAUUCUUCUGAUCACCGCAAGGCACUUACUCUAAAAUCGACCACAUAAUCAGAAGUAAAACACUCCUCGACAAAUGCAAAAGAACUGAAAUCAUGACAAACAGUCUCUUGGGCCACAGAAGAAUCAAAUUUGAAAUCAAGAUUAAGAAAUUCACUCAAAACCAUGCAAUUACAUGGAAAUUGAAUAACCUGCUCCUGAAUGACUUUUGGGUAAACAAUGAAAUUUAGGCAGAAAUCAAGAAGUUCUAUGAAACUAAUGAGAACAAAGAUACAAAGUACCAGAAUCUCUGGGAUACAGCAAAGGCAGUGUUAAGAAGGAAAUUUAUAGCACUAAAUGCCCACAUCAAAAAGUUAGAAAGAUCUCAAGUUAAUAACCUAACAUCACUACUAAAAGAACUAGAGAAGCGAGAGCAAACAAAUCCCAAAACUAGCAGAAGACAAGAAAUAACAAAAAUCAGAGCUGAACUGAAGGAGACAGAGACAUGAAAAACCCUUCAAAAAAUGAAAGAAUCCAGAAGCUGUUUUUUUUUUCUUUGAAAAAAAGUAAUAAAAUAGACCGCUAGCUAGACGAAUAAAGAAGGAAAGAGAGAAGAUUUGAAUAAACACAAUCAGAAAUGAUAAGGGGAAUAUUUAUCACUGACCCCACAGAAAUACAAACAACCACCAGAGAAUAUUGUGAACACCUCUGGGCACAUAAACUAGGAAGUCUAGAAGAAAUGGACAAAUUCCUGGACACACACACCUCCCCAAGGCUGAACCAGGAAGAAACUGAAUCCCUGAACAGACCAGUAAUGAGUUUGGAAAUUGAGGCAGUAAUAAAUAGCCUACCAACCAAAAAAAUCCCAGGACCAGAUGGAUUCACAGCUGAAUUCUACCAGAUGUACAAAGAGGAACUGGUAGCAUUCCUACUGAUACUAUUUCAAAAAAUUGAGAAGGAGGGACUCCUCCCUAACUCAUUCUAUGAGGCCAGCAUCAUCCUGAAACCAAAACCUGGCAGAGAUACAACAACAAAAGAAAACUUCAGGCCAGUAUCCUUCAUGAACAUCAAUGCAAAAAUCCUCAACAAAAUGCUGGCAAACUGAAUCCAGCAGCACAUCAAAAAGCUUAUCCACCACGAUCAAGUUGGCUUCCUCCCUGGGAUGCAAGGUUGGUUCAACAUAUGCAGAUCAAUAAAUGUGACUCAUCACAUAAACAGAACUAAAGACAAAAACCACAUGAUUAUCUCAAUAGAUGCAGAAAAGGCUUUUGAUAAAAUUCAACAUCGCUUCAUGUUAAAAACUCUCAAUAAACUAGGUAUUGAAGGACCAUGCCUCAAAAUAAUAAGAGCCAUCUGUGACAAACGCACAGCCAACAUCAUACUGAAUGGACAACAGCUGGAAGCAUUCCCCUUGAAAACCGGCACAAGACAAGGAUGCCCUCUCUCACCACUCCUAUUCAACAUAGUAUUGGAAGUUCUGGCCAGGGCAAUCAGGCAAGUGAAAGAAAUAAAGGGCAUCCAAAUUGGAAGGGAGGAAGUCAACCUAUCCCUGCUUGCAGAUGACAUGAUCCUAUAUCUAGAAAACCCCGUUGUCUCAGCCCAAAGGCCUCUUAAGCUGAUAAACAACUUCAGCAAAGUCUCAGGGUACAGAAUCAAUGUGCAAAAAUCACUAGCAUUCCUAUACACCAGCAACAGUAAAGCCGACAGCCAAAUCAGCAAUGAACUCCCAUUCACAAUUGCUACAAAAAGAAUAAAAUACCUAGGAAUACAGCUAACUAGGGAGGUGAAAGAUCUCUACAAGGAGAACUACAAACCACUGCUCAAAGAAAUCGGAGAUGACACACAAAAAAAUGGAAAAACAUUCCAAGCUCAUGGAUAGGAAGAAUCAGUAUUAAAAUGGGCAUACUGCCCAAAGCAAUUUAUAGAUUCAAUGCUAUUCCCAUUAAACUACCAUUGACAGUCUUCACAGAACGAGAAAAAAAAAACUAUUUUAAAAUUCAUAUGGAACCAAAAAACAAAAAAAGCCCGAAUACCGAAGGCAAUCCUAAGCAAAAAGGACAAAGCUGGAGGCAUCAUGCUACCUGACUUCAAACUAUGCUACAAGGCUACAGUAACCCAAACAGCAUGGUGCUGGUACAAGAACAGACACAUAGACAAAUGGAACAGAACAGAGAACCGAGAAAUGAGACCACACACCUACAACUAACUGAUCUUCGACAAACCUGACAAAAACAAGCAAUGGGGAAAGGAUUCCCGGUUCAAUAAAUGGUGCUGGGAUAACUGGCUAGCCAUGUGCAGAAGAUGAAAACCGGCUCCCUUGCUUACACUAUAUACAAAGAUUGACUCAAGAUGGAUUAAAGACUGACAUGUAAAACCCCCAACUAUGAAAACUCUGAAAGACAACUUAGGCAAUGCCAUUCAGGGCAUAGGCAUGGGCAAAGAUUUCAUGAUGAAGACGCCAAAAGCAAUUGCAACAAAAGCAAAAAAUUGACAAAUGGGGUCUAAUAAAAUUAAAGAGCUGUGCACAGUGAAAGAAACUAUCAACAGAGUAAACAGACAACCUACAGAAUGGGAGAAAAUAUUUGCAAACUAUGCAUCUGACAAAGGUCUAAUAUCCAGCAUCUAUAAAGAACUUAAACAAAUUUACAGGAAAACAAACAAUCCCAUAAAAAAGUGGGAAAAGGACAUGAACAGACACUUUUCAAGAGGAGACAUACAUGCAGCCAACAAUCAUAUGAAAAAAAAAGGUCAACAUCACUGAUCAUUAGAGAAAUGCAAAUCAAAACCACAAUGAGAUCCCAACUAAUAUUAGCCAAAAUGGCCAUUAUUAAAAAGUCAAAAAAUAACAGAUGCUGGCGAGGCUGUGGAGAAAAAGGAAUGCUUAUACACUGUCUGUGGGAUUGUAAACAAGUUCAGCCACUGUGGAAGACAGUGUGGUGAUUCCUCAAAGACCUAAAGACAGAAAUACCAUUCAACCCAGCAAUCCCAUUACUGGGUCUACACCCAAAGGACUAAAAAUCAUUCUGUUACAAAGACACAUGCAUGUGUAUGCUCAUUGCAGCACUACUCACAAUAGCAAAGACAUGGAAUCAGCCUAAAUCCCCAACAGUGACAGACUGGAGAAAGAUAAUGUGGUACAUAUACACCAUGGAAUACUAUGCAGCCGUGAAAAAGAAUGAGAUAAUGUCCUUCGCAGGGACAUGGAUGGAGCUGGAGGCCCUUAUCCUUAGCAGACCAACACAGAAAGAGAAAACCAAAUACUGCAUGUUCUCACUUAUAAGUGAGAGUUAAAUGAUGAGAACAUAUGGACACAUAGAGGGGAACAACACACACUGGGGCCUUUUGGAGGAUAGAGGGUGUGAGGAGGGAGAGGAUCAAGAAAAACAACUAAUGGGUACUAAGCUUAACACCUGGGUGAUGAAAUAAUCUAUGCAACAAAUCCCCUAUGACACAAGUUUACCUAUGUAACAAACCUGCACUUGUACCCCUGAACUUAAAAGUUUAAAAAAAAAAAAAAAAGGAGUUAGUGGCUAAUAAACUCUAAAUAAAGCAUUUCAAACUUAAAAGCAAAAUCUAGCCAGGUGCCGUGGCUCACGCCUGUAAUCCCAGCACUUUUGGAGGCCAAGGCAGGAGGAUCGCUUGAGGUCAGGAGUUUGAAACCAGCCUGAGCAGCAAAGCAAGACCCCGUUUCUACAAAAAAAUAGAAUUAAAAGAAAAGUUAGUUGGGUGGAGUCAUGAGUGCCUGCAGUCCCAGCUACUCGGGAAGCUGAGGUGGGAGGAUCUCUUGAGCCCAGCAGUUCAAGGCUACUGUGAGCUAUGAUCACGCCACUGCACUCCAGCCUGGGUAACAGAGCAAGACCAUGUCUCAAAAAAAAAAAAAAAAAAAAAAUUCAUCAUUUCUAAUUUUGCCUCUUCCAAGAAUGGAAGGAAAUUAACCUAUUCAGUACUGUUUUUUCUCUUGAAAAAUACCAGUCAGUUGUUAGGCUCAAAACCCUUUGAUAGAACAUAUCCAUAUCACUGGCCCCAGGGUGCUCUUGGGCAUAUUGGAAAUCCACUCACUUAGCUCAGCUGUGGAUUAGCUCAACUCUUAGUUACGAGACCAGAACAUGUCUGCAUCCUCACCUCCUUAAGCCUGCAGCUCAUCAGAACCAAAGACCCUGGCAGAGUUUGGUGGUAGUUCUUUUUUGUCAGACUUACAGUCAGGGGUUGGUGGGUUUGUGGGUAGCUCCAUUCUAGUCCUGGGCUUUAAUCUGUGAGUAUGGCUUUUGUCUUCCAUCUUGCUCAGGGUACUUUGGAACCGCUAUACAUUGCAGGAGCUUAGCUUCUGGUUACCAUGGUUUGCUUCCAGAGCAACAAGCCUAGUACUUCAACAUGGAGACAAUUAUCUUUUGUUUUUGUUUUGUUUUGUUUGUUUUGUCUUGGCCAUGCCUUUUUGAGUUUACCUUUUUAUAUUUUGUCCAUCAUUGCCAUGUGUUUGGAGCAGUGGGCGUUCCAUAACAUGAACUCACUGUACCAUCACGAAUGGGAAGUAAGGGGAAACCUUAUCCAUGUGGAUUUUACUCUUCCCUGAUUCCCUAAAUUGGGUUUGCAAAAUACUACUGUGCACUUUCUUGAUGAUUCGGGCUUAUCUUUAUGACUGUCUGUUUUUGUGUCAGACUGUAAAGAAGUAUAAAAGUCUUUAGCUUGAUUAAUGCAAUCCACGCUUCCUUUCUGGAAAAAAAAGGGGGGGGGCGCGCAUUUUUUUACAGUUGCAAUAAAUCGUCUUAAGCCAUGUUGGUGUAUAUCAUAUAGAUUAGUAGUGGUGUUCUAGCUUACUUUCUGUGUGGGCAGGCAGGCACGGUAAUUUAUCCCCUGCACGACUAAAGAUCACAAGGGCUAAUGCUGUGUAAAACUGUGAACUCAGUGAAGGUUUUUCUCUGUUAGCCCCAUCUUUCUCCAUGGUCUACCCACUGAUGGUGGCCACUCCCUCCAAUUCAGGUACUCCCUCCAAUUCAGGUACUCCCUCUCACCAUCUGCUUUCUAACUUCCUCUCUGAUGCCUUGACUGAGGCAGUGUCGUGUCACAGGAAGAGCACAAACUUGGAAUGAUCUGGGCUUGAAUUCCAUCUCUGACUUUUACUAGCCUGGGAAAUUGUGGGAAGUUGCUUUCUUUCCUUGAGCCUGUGUUCCUACAUAUGCAAAGUGGGGCUAAUAAAUGCCAGCUAGCUGAAAAAUCUAUGAUGAAGAAUGAAUCUAUACAUGUGUAUAAAGUGUGAGCAGCACAUAAAAAAACACUCAGUACAUAGUAGUUGUUUAUCAUUGUUGACAAUAUCACUGCUUGAGAGAAGAGGAGGAAUCAGGGCUAGGCUGUGUGUUUGACAGGAAUCAACAUUCUACUUAGGGGGAAGCAGCAAAUUUAUGACAGGCAGAAUUGGAAAAGUAUGUGAAAAUGUUAGGGGUCAGAGAGAGUAGGCAAGUUGUGAAGCACAGAUAUAUUGGCAAGACAUCUGAACUUCUAGGCCGGAGGGUUCCUGGAUAGGAAGUUGGCUUGGGGUUUUGGCAGUCCGAAGGCUGAGAGCUGAAAGAACAGAAUGGUCAGGGAACAGGUCAGAGAGCCAGAUGAGAAAAGCUGAGUCUGGAGAGUUUUAGGGAGAGUGGUGUGGUAAUGAAGGUGUGUAGAAUCAAUGAGACAGGCAGGCAGACACCCAUGCUCGUGAUGAUGCAUAGUUAAGGUGGAGCACAUACUUCCACAUCUAACUUCACCAUCUCCCAAAACCCCACUGGAACUGCUACAAAUGUGAUUUUUGAAAGGAUUAGAAGGAUAGGAGUGAAGAUGAAAUAAAAAGGGUUGAAGAACAGGAAAGGAGGCAACAACUAAAUUUUGGAUGCUGAAGAACAGAUGGAUGAGUGGCAACUGACUUAGCAGAUCCAAGAAGGCCACAAACUAGGAAUUCUGAGACCUUAGUGGGAAAAGCAAAAAGCUAACUUGAUUUACUCCUCACCCCCAGGAAUCUUCAAAGGCUGGACCAAGGUAACUCUGGAAGUGGAGUUACCUCUGGAAGUGAAGGGGGGUGGGUAUCAAAAUAAUGAAGGCUGUUUGAAAACUCUUUUAAGAAGUAGAUUCAUUGCCAAAUCCCCUCCUGCUGUCAAUGCCAGUGAGGGGCUGGCCCUUCCCUGCUCUGACAGAAGCCUGGAGUGUUAUUCCCUGGAGAGGGUAAAGCAGAGGGUCUCUGGAUGGGGAGUUCGCAGACUUAGUUGAGGGCUGGGGUCCUGUACUGAAAACAGGGGUGUUGAGUGGAAGCAUGUGUCCUGAAAGCUGUGAACUCCCAGUCUUCUUCCCUGCCCCUGCCCCUAAACUUCUGGCAGCUGGAAGAGUCUUCUGUGAGCCAUCUGACCAACCUAAGAGAAAAAGAUCUAAGGAGACUCACACUGAAGGCUCCCCAGUAAAGGGCUCACUCAGCUGGGUUACUCCCCGAUGAGGUACAUAUCUUGAUACUGUGAGGAAGAAGACACCCAUUCAAUUGAGGGUACUUAUUUUUGGAAUAGGAGGAGAGACCUGAGCAUUUUAGUUACUGCAAGGAAAGGAGCCAGGCAGAGAAGACGGAGAGAUUAGACAUUCUUGAGAGAAGAGGUAAUUGAUGGAGUGAGGCACCUGGGGAGGCAGGAUGGGAUCGAACCCAGAGCAGGAGUGGAAGUGACAGCCUGAGUCAGAAGAAAGCACCUUCAUCUUUCACUGAGAUAGGAUGAAAAGAAAUGAGAUCUGGUUAUAGACUCAAUUUGAUCCAUUAUUAUUUUGCAGCCACUAUAUCCAAGGCGUUGUGUGGGGUAGUGUUCAUUCAUCCAUCCACUCAUUCAUCCAACAUUUUUUGGAGCAACUACUGUGUUCCGGCACUGUGCUGCGUGCUGGAGAUACCGAGAUAAGUCAGACAAGGUUCCAGUCCUCAAGGAGCUCACAGUCACAGGACGAAAGCAGGCUCACAACAUAGGGCAAUAUGUGCUGUGAAAACUGAGCACAGGGGGCUGUGAGAACACGGAGCAAGGGACACUGUAGAGAAGGGAAUGAAGCAGGUAUGGAAAUGGAUAUAGAACAAGACAUGGACUGCUCUGUGCAUUCAAGGGCAGAGAGAUCUCAUCCAGCAGGGCCCAUCUGCAGAGGUUUCAUGAAGUUAGGUGGUCUUUGAGUUGAAACCGAGAGGAUGCCUAGGGUUUCUUUCAACCUGCAGUGACGUGGGGGUGGGGAACGGGUGCCCACCAAGAGGUGAAAACAGAUGCAAAGAUCCAGAGGCAGGAAAUUGCAAGAGGACAUGUUCAGGGUAGAGGGAGAGGCCCUGGUUGAGCACCUGAGAAGCCCCGGUUGAGAGUAUGCUGAGGCAAGUGGUAGGAGGUGCAGUUGUGAAGCAGGAAUAGGAUGAGAUGCAAAAAAUAUCACUGAAGCAACAUCACAAAUUGCAGCCGGGUUGAACAAAUGGAUUGUGUAAAAAACACCAGACUGUGAAAUGAGAAACCCGAUUCUGUUUGAGGCCCAGCUCUGAAACAAACUUGCUCUUGAUGUGGUGUGUAGUGACUCAGUUAAUGUCUCUGAACAUUGGUUUCUUCAUCCAUCAAGUGGUAGCAGGAACACCUUUCCUGCCUGUCUCAUGGGGUUCUCGUGAGGAGCAUAUAAGUCAGUGUACGAGAAAACACCUUUAAAACAACAACAACAACAACUCUUUAAAGUGCCGGUGCACACACGUGAAGGCUUAUUAUUGAGGAGACGCUUGUGCUGGGAACACAACCCUAACCCUAACCCUAACCCCUAACCCUAACCAGGGGAGCAAAUGUACUGAAAUAUUCUCCUAAAGGGAUCCAACAACAUUCCGAAACUAGUUGUUAGGUAACAUGGGGAGCGAAUCAACUCCUGUUAAUUUGGAAUGUCUAUAUGUCAAAUUUACAUACAAUAAAAAUAGAUUUGUACUAUCCUGGCGGUCUACCGAUGAUAGUACAACAGGAAUUAUACACACAAAAACAUGCAAAUGUCCGAUUGUUCUUCAUUCACUCAACCAACAUUCAUUGACCAUUCUGCUGUGCACUGAGGGCAGGCACGCUGGAGGCCAGACAAAUAGAAUUUCUGCCCUCAAGAUCUCCUUGUACCACGGGAGACACAUGUAUUAACAGCCAAUGUUAACACCAGGUAAGCACAAGGAGUCUGUGGGAGCUCAGAACAAGGGUACCUAAACCAGUCUUUUGCAGCUGAGGUUGUAUUAAUAUGAAGUAGUACCAUUGCCCCGAUUUUACAGAUGAGGAAACUGAGAGUUAGAGAGCAAGUGACAG
This 9660-nucleotide long non-coding RNA is filed under the name Homo sapiens (human). RNAcentral's name for it is "non-protein coding lnc-TMLHE-6:1". The record is from RNAcentral. Lineage: Eukaryota; Metazoa; Chordata; Mammalia; Primates; Hominidae.